GACGAACGCUGGCGGCGUGCUUAACACAUGCAAGUCGAACGGUAAGGCCCUUCGGGGUACACGAGUGGCGAACGGGUGAGUAACACGUGGGUGAUCUGCCCUGCACUUCGGGAUAAGCCUGGGAAACUGGGUCUAAUACCGGAUACGACGCCUGGCUUCAUGGUUGGGGGUGGAAAGCUUUUGCGGUGUGGGAUGGGCCCGCGGCCUAUCAGCUUGUUGGUGGGGUAAUGGCCUACCAAGGCGACGACGGGUAGCCGGCCUGAGAGGGUGACCGGUCACACUGGGACUGAGAUACGGCCCAGACUCCUACGGGAGGCAGCAGUGGGGAAUAUUGCACAAUGGGCGCAAGCCUGAUGCAGCGACGCCGCGUGAGGGAUGACGGCCUACGUGUUGUAAACCUCUUUCAGCUAUGACGAAGCGCAAGUGACGGUAGUAGCAGAAGAAGGACCGGCCAACUACGUGCCAGCCGCCGCGGUAA
RNAcentral lists this ribosomal RNA (478 nucleotides) under uncultured bacterium. Its description in RNAcentral is "partial 16S ribosomal RNA". It matches the Rfam family "Bacterial small subunit ribosomal RNA", at positions 28 to 523 of the family's 1533-position model. The record is from RNAcentral.